AUGUCCAGCGGAGACGAAUCGGAGACGGAAAUGAAGAGGCCACCUUCCCCCUCAACUCCUCCGAGCGACGGCGUAGACUCGGCCAUGUCUACCGCCAGCAUUGAGGACGACGACCAUCAGGCUGUCAUUGACGACGAAGACGAGGAUGAAGACCUAGAGAAAUACCAACCUUUUACCGUUGAUGAUUUCCCAAGGGUUAGUAGUGAGUUUGAUGAGCAAUCUGAUGUUGUGUUCCAAAAUCCUGAUAUUCAACUUCGAGGCCCUUCGGCAAUGUUUCUUUUCCGGGCAUUCAACAAUCCCCUUGUUGAAAAACACAAGCAUUUCUUCGGUAGCCAAUAUCAACUCUAUGAUGAGUCUGAAGUCAAUGUGAACAACAAUGUUAGGGCCAUUAAUUGCUCACACGGUUGCCAUUGUUUACCGAGCGGCGUGCUGCAGUUCAUUGAUCUCAAAAUUGUUGGUUAUCGCCACGUCCAACCUGGAUGUGCCAAUAUAUUUGGUUUUUUCGCAGUACGUGAGAAUGGUGAACCUUUGCGCAACUAUGUGUACAGGCGUGGGAUUGACAAUUAUGAAGCUGUAAAUGUGAAGCGGGAUACGGGCAUUGCACAUUUAUCGCUGACUAGCCCUGCUCGAUGUAUUCACAUGGGAAGCCGUGUGUUGUUUGAAUUCAAGCUUUCUGUACGGACUGAUGACCAGCCAGAAGAUGGGCCAAAAGAUGACCUUCUGAUUGAAGGAUGUACCGAGUUUACUGAGUUUAUGAACAUGCACAAAACAAGACCAUUCAUCGAAACUCGGCGUCUGUAUGGGGAAAAGUGUGGAUUGGAUAUGAAGUUUCUGGUGUUGUGGAAUGCAGUUCAAGCAAAGGUUGAUGUUGAGAUACUUCAUGCUCCUGUCAAUGGCCUUAAUCUGAAUCUUUAUGCAAAGACGAGUGGCUUCAGAGAUGUGAUCCGCCUCUUUUUUGCAGUUACAGAAUCAGGUUGCAGAAUGAGUUUGGUCGUAGGAGUGAUGAGAUACAGUUACCUUAUUCUUUGUAUCGAAGGAUCCCCGAAAGAUGGUGGUUUUUCUCAAGAGCUGCCGUGUUGUAUGUGGGAAGGUCGAUUUGGUUCGGGGUAUCAUGGAACAGUGCAUGAAGUGGUGUAUCUUCAUGAUUCCACAAAAAUUUCUGUCAAGGUUACCUGGAAGGCUGUGAAGAGUUUACAUGACUUGAAACACUGA
RNAcentral lists this ribosomal RNA (1212 nucleotides) under Triticum aestivum (bread wheat). RNAcentral describes it as "partial small subunit ribosomal RNA". Lineage: Eukaryota; Viridiplantae; Streptophyta; Magnoliopsida; Poales; Poaceae. The record is from RNAcentral.